Molecule: non-coding RNA, 1058 nt
Organism: Solenopsis invicta (red fire ant)
Lineage: Eukaryota; Metazoa; Arthropoda; Insecta; Hymenoptera; Formicidae
Source: Rfam
GAAGACACUGUUGAGCUUGACUCUAGUCUGGCACUGUAAGGAGACAUGAGAGGUGUAGCAUAAGUGGGAGAUGGCAACAUCGCCGGUAAAAUAUCACUACUUUCAUCGUUUCCUUACUUACUCGGUUAGGCGGAACGCGUGCUCCGAGGUCCUCGUGCUCCGGCGGUAACGGUGUUCUAGAACCAAGCGUGUCAGAGUGGCGAGAGGCCUAGGCCGAUCGCCGUUAAUACUCCCGCGUGAUCCGAUUCGAGGACACUGUUAGGCGGGGAGUUUGACUGGGGCGGUACAUCUGUCACAGAAUAACGCAGGUGUCCUAAGGCCAGCUCAGCGAGGACAGAAACCUCGCGUAAAACAAAAGGGCAAAAGCUGGCUUGAUCUCGAUGUUCAGUACGCAUAGAGACUGCGAAAGCACGGCCUAUCGAUCCUUUUGGCUUGAAGAGUUUUCAGCAAGAGGUGUCAGAAAAGUUACCACAGGGAUAACUGACUUAUGGCGGUCAAGCGUACAUACAGACGUCGCUUUUUGAUCCUUCGAUGUCGGCUCAUCCUAUCAUUGCGAAGCAGAAUUCGCCAAGCGUCGGAUUGUUCACCCGACAACAGGGAACGUGAGCUGGGCUUAGACCGUCGUGAGAUAGGUUAGUUUUACCCUACUGAUGACUAGUCAUUGCGAGAGUAAUCCUGCUCAGUACGAGAGGAACCGCAGGUUCGGACAUUUGGUUCACGCACUCGGUGGAGCGGCCGGUGGUGCCAAGCUACCAUCCGUGGGAUUAUGCCUGAACGCCUCUAAGACCGUAUCCUCUCUAGUCAAAGGUGGCAAUGAUAUCUCUAGGAGUCUCGUGAGUCGAAAGGCUCAAAACAAUGUGACACUACUAGGCGGCCGGUUGCCCUUCGCGGGGCGGACCGAUUGUCGCACGAGCCCGGAUUACCGUACGGCGCCAUCGUCCGUCGUCGAGAACUCACCGCCUACGACGGCGCGGCGUCUAACGGUCAAACAUGAGUUUCGCGAGUUCGAUGUCGGAAUUGUCUGAAGACGACUUAGGUACCUGGCGGGGUGUUGUACU